Molecule: transfer RNA, 46 nt
Filed under: Bos taurus (domestic cattle)
Lineage: Eukaryota; Metazoa; Chordata; Mammalia; Artiodactyla; Bovidae
Description: partial tRNA-Val
Source: RNAcentral
CAAGAUAUAGCUUAAACAAAGCAUCCAGUUUACACCUAGAAGACUU